RNAcentral lists this ribosomal RNA (233 nucleotides) under uncultured bacterium. RNAcentral's name for it is "partial 16S ribosomal RNA". It matches the Rfam family "Bacterial small subunit ribosomal RNA", at positions 104 to 334 of the family's 1533-position model. The record is from RNAcentral.
CGGGGUGGAGUAACGCGUGGGUAACCUGCCUCAUACAGGGGGAUAACAGUUAGAAAUGACUGCUAAUACCGCAUAAGCGCACAGUACCACAUGGUACGGUGUGAAAAACUCCGGUGGUAUGAGAUGGACCCGCGUCUGAUUAGCUAGUUGGUGAGGUAACGGCUCACCAAGGCGACGAUCAGUAGCCGGCCUGAGAGGGUGAUCGGCCACAUUGGGACUGAGACACGGCCCAA